GAUGAACGCUGGCGGCGUGCUUAACACAUGCAAGUCGAACGAUGAAGCCCAGCUUGCUGGGUGGAUUAGUGGCGAACGGGUGAGUAACACGUGAGUAACCUGCCCUUAACUCUGGGAUAAGCCUGGGAAACUGGGUCUAAUACCGGAUAGGAGCGUCCACCGCAUGGUGGGUGUUGGAAAGAUUUAUCGGUUUUGGAUGGACUCGCGGCCUAUCAGCUUGUUGGUGAGGUAAUGGCUCACCAAGGCGACGACGGGUAGCCGGCCUGAGAGGGUGACCGGCCACACUGGGACUGAGACACGGCCCAGACUCCUACGGGAGGCAGCAGUGGGGAAUAUUGCACAAUGGGCGCAAGCCUGAUGCAGCGACGCCGCGUGAGGGAUGACGGCCUUCGGGUUGUAAACCUCUUUCAGUAGGGAAGAAGCGAAAGUGACGGUACCUGCAGAAGAAGCACCGGCUAACUACGUGCCAGCAGCCGCGGUAAUACGUAGGGUGCGAGCGUUAUCCGGAAUUAUUGGGCGUAAAGAACUCGUAGGCGGUUUGUCGCGUCUGUCGUGAAAGUCCGGGGCUUAACCCCGGAUCUGCGGUGGGUACGGGCAGACUAGAGUGCAGUAGGGGAGACUGGAAUUCCUGGUGUAGCGGUGGAAUGCGCAGAUAUCAGGAGGAACACCGAUGGCGAAGGCAGGUCUCUGGGCUGUAACUGACGCUGAGGAGCGAAAGCAUGGGGAGCGAACAGGAUUAGAUACCCUGGUAGUCCAUGCCGUAAACGUUGGGCACUAGGUGUGGGGACCAUUCCACGGUUUCCGCGCCGCAGCUAACGCAUUAAGUGCCCCGCCUGGGGAGUACGGCCGCAAGGCUAAAACUCAAAGGAAUUGACGGGGGCCCGCACAAGCGGCGGAGCAUGCGGAUUAAUUCGAUGCAACGCGAAGAACCUUACCAAGGCUUGACAUGUUCUCGAUCGCCGUAGAGAUACGGUUUCCCCCUUUGGGGCGGGUUCACAGGUGGUGCAUGGUUGUCGUCAGCUCGCGUCGUGAGAUGUUGGGUUAAGUCCCGCAACGAGCGCAACCCUCGUUCCAUGUUGCCAGCACGUAAUGGUGGGGACUCAUGGGAGACUGCCGGGGUCAACUCGGAGGAAGGUGAGGACGACGUCAAAUCAUCAUGCCCCUUAUGUCUUGGGCUUCACGCAUGCUACAAUGGCCGGUACAAUGGGUUGCGAUACUGUGAGGUGGAGCUAAUCCCAAAAAGCCGGUCUCAGUUCGGAUUGGGGUCUGCAACUCGACCCCAUGAAGUCGGAGUCGCUAGUAAUCGCAGAUCAGCAACGCUGCGGUGAAUACGUUCCCGGGCCU
RNAcentral lists this ribosomal RNA (1344 nucleotides) under uncultured bacterium. RNAcentral's name for it is "bacterial SSU rRNA". It matches the Rfam family "Bacterial small subunit ribosomal RNA", at positions 28 to 1381 of the family's 1533-position model. The record is from RNAcentral.